UACGUAGGUGGCGAGCGUUGUCCGGAUUCACUGGGCGUAAAGGGUGCGCAGGUGGUCGUGUGUGUCAGAUGUGAAAUCCCGGAGCUUAACUCCGGAACUGUGUCUGAAACUGCACGACUAGAGCAUUGGAGAGGGUAGUGGAAUUCACGGUGUAGCAGUGAAAUGCGUAGAUAUCGUGAGGAACACCAGAGGCGAAGGCGACUACCUGGACAAUUGCUGACACUCAGGCACGAAAGCAUGGGGAGCAAAAGGG
Molecule: ribosomal RNA, 253 nt
Filed under: uncultured bacterium
Lineage: Bacteria
Description: partial 16S ribosomal RNA
Rfam family: Bacterial small subunit ribosomal RNA
Source: RNAcentral